CCCUUAGAUGAUUUGGGCUGCACGCGCGCUACACCGACCCUAACAAUGAGCAACUGUCUGGCCUGAGAUGGCUGGGUAGCCUUUUCAACCCAUGUCAUGAUUGGGCUAGAUUUUUGUAAGUCUUGAUCUCUAACGAGGAAUCCCUAGUAUGCGUGAAUCAUCAAUCCAUGCAGAUUAUGUCCCUGCCCUUUGUACACACCGCCCGCCGCUCCUACUGAUUGGGUGAUCCGGUGAGCUGUUCGGCCAUAGCAAUGUUUCUUGAGCAGGGCAAUGAAUGUUUCGCAAACCUUGCCACUUAGAGGAAGGAGAAGUCGUAACA
Molecule: ribosomal RNA, 319 nt
Filed under: uncultured eukaryote
Lineage: Eukaryota
Description: partial 18S ribosomal RNA
Rfam family: Eukaryotic small subunit ribosomal RNA
Source: RNAcentral